RNAcentral lists this ribosomal RNA (403 nucleotides) under uncultured Oryzihumus sp. Its description in RNAcentral is "bacterial SSU rRNA". It matches the Rfam family "Bacterial small subunit ribosomal RNA", at positions 976 to 1380 of the family's 1533-position model. Lineage: Bacteria; Bacillati; Actinomycetota; Actinomycetes; Micrococcales; Intrasporangiaceae. The record is from RNAcentral.
AAGGCUUGACAUGUGCCGGUAAAGCGCAGAGAUGUGCUCCCCGCAAGGUCGGUACACAGGUGGUGCAUGGUUGUCGUCAGCUCGUGUCGUGAGAUGUUGGGUUAAGUCCCGCAACGAGCGCAACCCUCGUUCUAUGUUGCCAGCACGUAGUGGUGGGGACUCAUAGGAGACUGCCGGGGUCAACUCGGAGGAAGGUGGGGAUGACGUCAAAUCAUCAUGCCCCUUAUGUCUUGGGCUUCACGCAUGCUACAAUGGCCAGUACAAAGGGCUGCGAUACCGCGAGGUGGAGCGAAUCCCAAAAAACUGGUCUCAGUUCGGAUUGGGGUCUGCAACUCGACCCCAUGAAGUCGGAGUCGCUAGUAAUCGCAGAUCAGCAACGCUGCGGUGAAUACGUUCCCGGGCC